Molecule: ribosomal RNA, 536 nt
Filed under: uncultured bacterium
Lineage: Bacteria
Description: bacterial SSU rRNA
Rfam family: Bacterial small subunit ribosomal RNA
Source: RNAcentral
AGAGUUUGAUCCUGGCUCAGGACGAACGCUGGCGGCGUGCCUAAUACAUGCAAGUCGAGCGGACCAAUUAGAAAGCUUGCUUUUUAAUUGGUUAGCGGCGGACGGGUGAGUAACACGUGGGUAACCUGCCCUAUAGACCGGGAUAACUCGCGGAAACGCGUGCUAAUACCGGAUAACACGCCGAAGCGCAUGCUUCGGGGUUGAAAGAUGGUUCUGCUAUCACUAUAGGAUGGGCCCGCGGCGCAUUAGCUAGUUGGUGGGGUAACGGCCUACCAAGGCGACGAUGCGUAGCCGACCUGAGAGGGUGAUCGGCCACACUGGGACUGAGACACGGCCCAGACUCCUACGGGAGGCAGCAGUAGGGAAUCUUCCACAAUGGGCGAAAGCCUGAUGGAGCAACGCCGCGUGAGCGAAGAAGGUCUUCGGAUCGUAAAGCUCUGUUGUAAGGGAAGAACAAGCGCAGCAGUCACUGGCUGCGCCCUGACGGUACCUUACUAGAAAGCCACGGCUAACUACGUGCCAGCAGCCGCGGUAAU